This 529-nucleotide ribosomal RNA is filed under the name Mycolicibacterium houstonense. RNAcentral's name for it is "bacterial SSU rRNA". It matches the Rfam family "Bacterial small subunit ribosomal RNA", at positions 44 to 590 of the family's 1533-position model. The record is from RNAcentral. Lineage: Bacteria; Bacillati; Actinomycetota; Actinomycetes; Mycobacteriales; Mycobacteriaceae.
GUGCUUAACACAUGCAAGUCGAAGCGAAAGGCCCUUCGGGGUACUCGAGUGGCGAACGGGUGAGUAACACGUGGGUGAUCUGCCCUGCACUUUGGGAUAAGCCUGGGAAACUGGGUCUAAUACCGGAUAGGACCACGCGCUUCAUGGUGUGUGGUGGAAAGCUUUUGCGGUGUGGGAUGGGCCCGCGGCCUAUCAGCUUGUUGGUGGGGUAAUGGCCUACCAAGGCGACGACGGGUAGCCGGCCUGAGAGGGUGACCGGCCACACUGGGACUGAGAUACGGCCCAGACUCCUACGGGAGGCAGCAGUGGGGAAUAUUGCACAAUGGGCGCAAGCCUGAUGCAGCGACGCCGCGUGAGGGAUGACGGCCUUCGGGUUGUAAACCUCUUUCAAUAGGGACGAAGCGCAAGUGACGGUACCUAUAGAAGAAGGACCGGCCAACUACGUGCCAGCAGCCGCGGUAAUACGUAGGGUCCGAGCGUUGUCCGGAAUUACUGGGCGUAAAGAGCUCGUAGGUGCUUUGUCGCGUUG